RNAcentral lists this ribosomal RNA (1146 nucleotides) under Triticum aestivum (bread wheat). RNAcentral's name for it is "partial small subunit ribosomal RNA". Lineage: Eukaryota; Viridiplantae; Streptophyta; Magnoliopsida; Poales; Poaceae. The record is from RNAcentral.
AUGCAUGCAAUAAAAUUCUUGUGCUAUCGCAAGUUGAAAGAGAGUCGAAAGGAACUUGCCAAGGAGACAGGGAAGCAGGCCCUGCAGUUCGCGUACGACGAGGUGAUCCAGGGCCUGAGUCAGCUGCUGGACCCGGAGACGGCGCCGCCGAACAGGUCGGUCGUGCGCCGGACCGCCCGCGUCACCCCGCCCCGCGUCGCCACGCCCGGCCUCGCCUUCGACCCACUCGUCGGAUCGCUGCUGGGCUCCAAGGGUGUCCGGAAGAAGGAUCGGGGCCUGAGAAACGUCAUCUCCGGGAAGGCGCCGAUGAAGCUCCUCGCCAUGGAGCCUGCACCGACAGCGGCCGCCGUGAGCAGCAUCCUCAAGAGCCAGGGCAUCCUCCGCGCCAGCCAGAGAGCGCCGGGCAUCGACACGGGCGCCCUGUCCAUCCUCGCCAACAAGACACCGGCGGCGGCAUCCAGCGCCGAGCCCAGCGCGCUGGUGGACAAGGCGCUCGGCGGCGAGGUCCCCGCCCAGGACACCAUCGACGCGUUGGUGGACAAGGCGCUCGGCAGCGAGGUCCUCGCCCAGGACACCAUCGACGCGUUGGUGGACAAGGCUCUCGGCGUUGACAAGGUCGCCGCCGCCUCGGCCACCAUCGGCGCGCUGGAGGCCGUGCUGGGCGACAAGGCCCCUGCCUCGACAACCAUCGGCGCGCUGGAGGCCGUGCUGGGCGACAAGGUCCCCGCUCCAGGCGUGCAGCACCAGGCGCCCGCGCCCGCACUCGAGGAGAAGGACGCCGGCGACAGCAAUGCCGUGCUCUACUUCGUACUCGCCUGCAACGGCGUGCUCCUGGUCGUCGUGGCUUACAAGGUGUGGCGGAAGUACUGGGGAGGCGGAGGAGGAGGCCAGGCAGGUGCAGCGGCGGCUCCCCAAGCGGCGGCGGCGACGGCAGUGGAUCCCGAAGCUGGGGCGACGACGGUGGAUGGCGAGGGAAGCACAAGUCAGGAACCCCAAGAGGCGGCGGUGGAUGUCCAGGCGCCAAGCACAGGCGAGGAGCCCCAAGAGGCGGUGGGGGAUGGCAACCGCGGCGCCGACGACAACAACAGCAACGCCGACGACAACAACAGCAACGCCGACGACAACAACAGCAACUCCGACAAGUGA